This 426-nucleotide ribosomal RNA is filed under the name uncultured bacterium. RNAcentral's name for it is "bacterial SSU rRNA". It matches the Rfam family "Bacterial small subunit ribosomal RNA", at positions 356 to 773 of the family's 1533-position model. The record is from RNAcentral.
GAGGAAUUUUGCGCAAUGGGGGAAACCCUGACGCAGCAACGCCGCGUGAGUGAUGAAGGCCUUCGGGUCGUAAAGCUCUGUCAAGUGGGAAGAAUCUGUCCGGUGAUAAUACCGCUGGGCAAUGACGGUACCGCUGAAGGAAGCACCGGCUAACUCCGUGCCAGCAGCCGCGGUAAUACGGGGGGUGCUGGCGUUAUUCGGAAUCAUUGGGCGUAAAGGGCGCGUAGGCGGUCUUUUAAGUCAGAUGUGAAAGCCCUCGGCUUAACUGAGGAAGUGCAUUUGAUACUAAAAGACUUGAGUAUGGGAGAGGGAAGCGGAAUUCCUGGUGUAGCGGUGAAAUGCGUAGAUAUCAGGAGGAACACCGGUGGCGAAGGCGGCUUCCUGGACCAAGACUGACGCUGAGGCGCGAAGGCGUGGGGAGCAAAC